CCGGCCCCGCCCGUGGGGGUGUCCCUCCCGCCGCCGCCGUCCGCGCGCCACUCCAGGGACGCUCCCCGUGCGGUUCCCGGCGCACCAUGGCCCGCUGGGCCGCCCUCGUGCUGCUGCUGCUCGCCCUGCUGGGCACCGUGCCGCCCACCCCGGGCCAAGACUUUGAUUUAUCGGAUGCUAUUGAUGAGGAUGUCAAGAAGCCCACGUCCACCCCCAGAAAACCCAACACAGAUGAUGGCUUCAAUUUGGAAGACGCUCUCGGUGGCGGAGGAAAACAUGACCCAGUACCACCCAAUCCACCCAAACCCAAACCUAAGCCGAACCAGCCUGGCUCUUCAGGAGGCUUUUCGGAUUCUGAUCUUGUUGACAGCAAUUCAGGUGGAGGUCGGAGGUGCUGGUCCUGGGUGUCACGUGCGCUUCCCAUUCCCAACACGAUGCGUCACUGGGCCUUGUUCUCUGUUGCAGGAGGUGGCGGUGGCGGCGGCGGUGGCGGCGGGGGCGGAAGCCAGAGGCAUGACGACAAUGAGCAAGGCGACUCCCCCGGGGUGGUGCCUGGCAUCGUGGGCGCCGUAGUCGUCGCCGUGGCCGGUGCCAUCUCCAGCUUCAUCGCCUACCAGAAGAAGAAGCUCUGCUUCAAAGAGAACGCUGACCAAGGCGAAGUCAACAUGGAGAACCGCCAGGGCGCCAACGCCGAGCCACCAGUGCAACAGACGCUUCUGGAGAAAUAGAAGACGGGCAGCUAAGCAGCCGCGUUGGCAGCAGGAUCGCCAGCUUGCCUGCUGGGCGCCUCCCGACGGCCUGCCUGCGGGGGGCUGAGCAGCCCCGCCAGGAACAAGCCCCGGCGAGUUCGUGCCUUUGCCCAAGGGGAUGCCACGUUUUAACCCUGAGACGCGUCCGCCACCACCGUGCCCGGGGGGAUGCGUUCCGCCGAGGUCCGCAUCCAGAGAGCACAGGACGCUCACCUUCGCCACGGCGCUGCAGGAUUCCCUGGGGAAUGUGAAGGGCUCAGCCCCUGUCACCAGGUCGCCGUCGUUCGAAUAGCCGCCCCGCUCAAGUCCCCGCAGACCGGAACGCUGCGCUGUUCACCCAUCGCUGUAUUAAAUGCGCCUGAACCUCCCCGCAUCCGGGCCUUUUGUAGAACGAGGGAAGCCUUUGGUUAGUUUCCUCAAGAAAAAAAAAAUAAGUUCUUUUAUUGAUGAGGACUCCCCCUCCCCCGCCCCAGACGAAUAAAAAGAAAUGAGAAACCCACGUCCUUUUUACGUGAAUGUUCAGCCAUGGAGGCCCUUGUAGAAAAGGCAUGGAAACGAUUGGGGUGGAGACCUGGGUUCUGUUUUCUGGGACCGUCGGACCGAUGAUCCCCCUAAGUGCUGGCUCCUUUGUGGGCUUUUCUGAAUCUGUUUCCUCCGGUGGUCACGUGGGGAAAGGUAUUUCUUAUCAUUCAGAUACGCUAGUCAAUGAGAUACUCCCCUGGGCGAGAUGCUCCCCUCAGCCAGAUGCUUCCCUGAAUCAGAUACUCCCCUCCGCGAGAUGCUCCCUUCAGCCUCAUUCCGCGUUUUGAUGUCGUGGCUCGUUGCGUCAUGAUGUGUGAAAAAGAGGGCUUUUGAAAAUCAUUUGGAACUUCUCCAUAAAGACGUCAUGGGUUUAGAGUCCAAGGGAGUUUGCAUCACCAUAAAAGAAUGUAUUUAAGGGCUGUCAGGAGACGGUAGGGACAGCAGGGGGGUUGUUGAAAGCCUGUGUCAUAACGUGUGUUUGACUAACCCCCUGGAGCUGUGGCCAAGUCUUUGCUCUCCAAAUGCUGCAAGGGGUAUCUUUAUUUUUUUUUUAAUUUUUAAUAUAUAUUAUUUCAAAAUGCUUUGCACCGGACUGGCACAACAAUACCCAUUUAAUAAAUGUGAACUCUCAUUUUUAAA
Non-coding RNA from Sus scrofa (pig), 1910 nucleotides. The record is from RefSeq and is a predicted model, not a curated record. NCBI's taxonomy places the organism in Eukaryota, Metazoa, Chordata, Mammalia, Artiodactyla, Suidae.